AACUCGAAGAGCAUGUACCAAUUAACCGCUUCAGACCAAAUAUUUUAGUGGAGGGAUGCCACCCAUAUGCAGAGGAUCUAUGGAAAACAAUAAAGAUAAACAAGCUAACAUUUCGAGGUGUGAAAUUAUGGCGGCCGUUGCAAGGUGCCUACAAUCAAUCAAGACACUGGAAUACCAAGCCCUAAUGAACCAAGUGAAACACUGCAGAAAUAUCGGUCCGGAGAAGUGCUGCUUCCCAGCCACAAAAAUAAACAUCAGGUGAUUUGUCA
Molecule: long non-coding RNA, 269 nt
Organism: Panicum virgatum (switchgrass)
Lineage: Eukaryota; Viridiplantae; Streptophyta; Magnoliopsida; Poales; Poaceae
Exons: 3
Source: RefSeq, a predicted model, not a curated record